This 406-nucleotide ribosomal RNA is filed under the name uncultured bacterium. Its description in RNAcentral is "partial 16S ribosomal RNA". It matches the Rfam family "Bacterial small subunit ribosomal RNA", at positions 30 to 526 of the family's 1533-position model. The record is from RNAcentral.
AUUGAACGCUGGCGGCAGGCCUAACACAUGCAAGUCGAGCGAGCGGCGGACGGGUGAGUAAUGUCUGGGAAACUGCCUGAUGGAGGUGGAUAACUACUGGAAACGGUAGCUAAUACCGCAUACCAUCAGCUCUGCCCAGAUGGGAUUAGCUGGUUGGUGGGGUAACGGCUCACCUAGGCCACGAUCCCUAGCUGGUCUGAGAGGAUGAACAGCCACACUGGAACUGAGACACGGUCCAGACUCCUACGGGAGGCAGCAGGGGGGAAUAUUGCACAAUGGGCGCAAGCCUGAUGCAGCAAUGCCGCGUGUGUGAAGAAGGCCUUCGGGUUGUAAAGCACUGUCAGCGGGGAGGCGUUACCCGCACAAGAAGCACCGGCUAACUCCGUGCCAGCAGCCGCGGUAAUUC